GAAACGCGAUAGUUAAUGUGAAUUGCAGAAUUCAGUGAAUCAUCGAGUCUUUGAACGCACAUUGCGCCUUUUGGUAUUCCGAGAGGCACGCCUGUCUGAGCGUCAGCAAAACCCUUCGGCGGUCAAUUUUUAUUGCGGCCGGUGUUGGCGGCGGGCACCUUCCAAAGGUCCCCCGCUUAAACCCAGUGGCGGGGCAGGCAAGCUUGCGCAAUAGUAGAAAUAUCUUUUGCCAGAGCCCAACUGCCCCAACCUUAGCAGGGACUUGCUCCCUUCAUUUUUGACCUCAGAUCAGACGAGGAUACCCGCUGAACUUAA
Molecule: unclassified non-coding RNA, 315 nt
Filed under: uncultured Orbiliales
Lineage: Eukaryota; Fungi; Ascomycota; Orbiliomycetes; Orbiliales
Description: sequence contains ITS1
Rfam family: 5.8S ribosomal RNA (bases 1-105)
Source: RNAcentral